GACCAUUUCAAAAGACCUUCUGGACUUUUCAAUGCACUGAAAACAGCAGAAUGUGGAUCACAUACAGUUAGCCACAAAGCAUCUUGGGGAACCUUCAUUUGACAAAGAGUUUGGAGAAGGAAAUAGACAAACAAGCUCCGCCAAGGGGGUUAGUCAAGUCAGACGUCAUCACACAAAUUCCAGUACAACACUGGUUAGCUGUUUUCAACUUUUACAGCUAAAAGAUUUGUGCUUCGUUUAUGAAAAAAAAUUAUAAUCUAGGAUCGUCCUCAAGCUAUUUUCAAAACAAAAUAUAAUACAAAAUUCAGUUCAAAUAA
Molecule: long non-coding RNA, 317 nt
Organism: Carassius carassius (crucian carp)
Lineage: Eukaryota; Metazoa; Chordata; Actinopteri; Cypriniformes; Cyprinidae
Exons: 2
Source: RefSeq, a predicted model, not a curated record